AUUCCCAUGUGCCCUUUCCCGAAUCAUUCAUGUGUGCCCCUAUUCCCACAGAGUCCCCCAAAGGGAUUCACAGUUUACAGGCAGCCUGAGCCACUUUGGAACUGGUUUUUCUGUUCAGGGCUUGGCAGAUAAAGGUUCCAGCUUCCAGGAGCUUCUGGAGGUUCACACCCUUUGAGAAACAACGCACUAGGUCAUGACAUGCCUGCAACGCCCAGGGAAAUAUCAGACGACAGAAAACCGUGAUACUGAGAGUACAGGUCCCUCUUAUGCCGGGACUGCCCCUGCCUGCAAGGCCCAGCCUCCUGCCGUCUGGGGUUACCCAUGGGACUCUCCUUGUAGAAGAUGCCUUAGUCUGUGGAUUGGUGUCCGGUGCUGCCACCAGGGAGCGCAGGGGUCUCGACAGUCUUGUUCAGUCCCCAUCUCCAGAGCCCUGCACAGGACCUGGCCUGCAGUCGUCGACAAGUGUGUACUGAAGUAGUGAAGACUGCCAGGCAGCAUGGAUUGGGAGGUGGGGAGGACACACUACCUGAAAGGGCCACCCUGAAAACCCGUCCGUGACAGGAGCUCACAGGUGCGUCCGUUGUCCUACCUAGUCCUCACUACAGGCCCACAAGAGGUGCUGUCAGCAUUCCUGUUUCUUAGGCCCACAGAGGUGAAGCCCUUUGUUAAGUCACACAGCCUGUCAAUGGCAGGACUAGGGUUUAAACCAAGUUCCACCUGGUCCCAAAGUUCAGAAGCAAUACGGCUUCCAACCACCGAGGGCCCUCACCGACUCUGACAGAGCUCUGGGGAGGGCCAUCUCCUUCUCCAGCCCUCAUUCUACAUGGAACAAAGAUCCAGAGGGAAGGGACUCAGGUCAUGGAUGUGGCCCUUUCCCUACACCUUGGUGCCUCUCUGUUACCUGGUAACUGCCCUAUCACCAAAAAAAAACCUAAACAAAACCAUCAGCUCUGUCCUCUGGCUUCAGGGAUGGUUCCAGUCAGUUCGGGGCUGUCGCCACUAGGGGGCAGGCGCGCUUACCGUGUGAAUGCCCAAGCCAGACAGCAUGUAGACAAGGUCCUCAGUGGCCAAGUUUCCAGAUGCCCCCCGUGCAUAGGGACAGCCUCCAAGUCCUGCCACGGAAGAGUCCACCACGCUCACUCCCAUCUGGAAACACAAGGAUGGUGAAAUAUGGGUGUCAUUGUGGGGCUCAGAACCUACAAAGCUGUUCCUCGGCAAAACUCCCAAUCAACUCCCUGAAAUUCCAACAAGUUCUUUACUUUGGCUAAGGAUUCUGUUAAUGUUUCUCUUUUUAGUUCAACAGUGUCCAUCUUUUUUGUGGACACCGGUUCCUCUGCCAGGGUAUCUUCCCUCAUUCCUUCCAUGCUCAACUCCUCACCCUGAGAGGUCUCCUCAGGCCCUUCCGGAUCACAAACUCAAAGGAAGUGCCUCCCACAGCUGAGAUUUAUUUCAGACCCCUGUUGUUUACUGUGACUCCUUUACCCACUCCACCACCCCCGCCGAGGCUGCUCUCACUUCAGACCUUAACCUGGACAGCUACAAUGGAGAAACCAAACCCAAAAAGUUACCGAAUCACGUGGCUUAGAGACCUGAGCCUCCAGGAGAAAGCAGAGACGUGAGGGCACAGAGCUGAUCACUGGAGCGGCCCUGCACUGCAGCCCCAUGACGUCCUCCUGCCCUCUCCUGCUGCUGUGCCUUGGACCUCGUUCCACUCUUACUGCCCCUACACAGUGUCAGAGCCAAGUCCUGGAAUCAGGUGACACUGACAAUCAAGCAGUGUAAGCUCUGGGGUUGGUCAAACUCAGUUCCCACGGUGCGCUCUCCAGUGCUGACCUGGUCACAGCUCAGAGGACUCGGAGGCCAUGGCCCCUCCGACCACCGCGAGGAACCGCAGGGAGCCGGGGGACCUCUGCCAUCAAGUUUCUUACCGCUGCCUGGAAGCCUUUGAUAUUUGGGGUCAGGACUGGGUAGUUGAUGCCAGGAAAUUUCUGGAUGCCCUUCAAGACUUCAGCACAGUCAGCCAUCUGGGAGCCAAAGGAGACAUGGCCACGUCACUGCCAAGGCAGGCAGAGAGCUCAGAGAACCCUGGGGCAAUGUUUACCUGUGUCAUACAUGAGAAAACGGAGGUUCAGAGAGCAAGUAAUCGUCAUUCAACCUAGAAAGUGGCAGCACCACUGGAAGACCCACAGCUUCAGCUGUAGCCCAAACAAUUUCUUCAACCCUGAGGAACCAGCUCUGCUACACUUCCCCUGACUCCCUGAGCAGGGGCGGGGGUAAACACCGGGCCCCACGCCCGAAGGACCAUUCCAGGGGAGUCGCACACGGCCAGACGCGGCCCCAGUCCUCCCUGGCGCUGGCGCUGCCGUAGCUCUCCCAGUGUCCCCCAGGCACAACACCGGCUGGAAACGCAGGCGGAGGCGGAGGGGGGGGCGGGGACCUUGCUUUUUUCCACUCGGAACGGGAAGAUUAUUCGUGAUUUUCACUACAAAGGAGCUUGGAGAGUUCGGAAGCUCAGAGCGAGAAGGCGCCAGGGUGGCCGGGAAGAGCCUUGGACGGAAUGGGGACACCUGGGAUGGCGCCCCAGGUCUCUACGACCCGGGCAAGUCGUUCCCCAUCUCUAGGCCUCAGUCUCCCCGGGCCCCUCAAGGGAUCUGCGCGGGACAAAGGAUCCAAGACUCCAAGGCCCUCCCGACUGUGGCGUGAGGAGCUGUCCGGCUUGGCCUCUCAGAGAGCAGCCGCCACGGGCCGGGGCCCCGACCCCGACCGUCACGGUGCCCGCAGGGCCGCCCCUCGGCGGGCCGGGGCACUUACAGCCCGGAGAGACGCCAAGCCCACCAGUCUCCGCGGCACCACCUUCCUCAUGGCCGCCAUCUUGGCCCAGCUUCCCCCGCGCGCCUCCGCUGAGCCCCACGUGACCGGUGACCGCCGACCGCCGACCGCCGAGGGGGCGUGUCCUCGCCCUUAGGGCGGGGCUUCUGGGGCGGUGUGAUGACGUCAACGCGGGCUCUGUUUUCCAGCUUCCGGGUUUUGAUUCUUUCUGGCAAGUUCUUCCUUCCCCCUCACGUUUUUCCUGAGUGCUUCCUACUUGCCAUGGCAAAGUGAGGCUAGGGACUGUGAAGAUAAAGAUAAUCGAAGGAUUUAGAGUCUGCGCGUUGUGGGAAGACAGAUACUGAUAGUCACACAAAUAGUUGUAUAAUUAGUACCUUUUGCAAUAGUAAGAUGAAAUUUGCCCUGCACUGUUCUGAGUUCUUCGCAAAUGUUGACUCUUCCAUCACCAUCUCCAGGAUUCAAAUGCAGGCAGUGGACGGGAGGGAGAGAGAGAGAGAGAGCGCACAAGUGAGCGAGAAGCAUCCUUGAUUUCAUACUUUGAGAAUAAGUAAGAUUUAUCCAGGUGAAGAGGGCACGAGAAAAGCUUUCCAGAGAGUAAAGCAAAUGCAAAGACCCCGAGGCAAAGAAAUGGAAGGCUUAGAGCAGUGUUUUACAAAAUCCAUGUUGUUCUCCAUCAAUUGGUCGUAGCAAUCAAGUGGGUGCCAACUUUCUAAGAAAAAUAAAAACUAUUGGAGUGUAUUGCAUAAGUAGUAAAGCUAAGAAUUGCUUUGCAAA
This is a long non-coding RNA of Canis lupus familiaris (dog), 3603 nucleotides long. RefSeq lists it as uncharacterized. The transcript has 6 exons. The record is from RefSeq and is a predicted model, not a curated record. Lineage: Eukaryota; Metazoa; Chordata; Mammalia; Carnivora; Canidae.